AUUGAACGCUGGCGGCAGGCCUAACACAUGCAAGUCGAACGGUAGCACAGAGGAGCUUGCUCCUUGGGUGACGAGUGGCGGACGGGUGAGUAAUGUCUGGGAAACUGCCCGAUGGAGGGGGAUAACUACUGGAAACGGUAGCUAAUACCGCAUAACGUCGCAAGACCAAAGAGGGGGACCUUCGGGCCUCUUGCCAUCGGAUGUGCCCAGAUGGGAUUAGCUAGUAGGUGGGGUAACGGCUCACCUAGGCGACGAUCCCUAGCUGGUCUGAGAGGAUGACCAGCCACACUGGAACUGAGACACGGUCCAGACUCCUACGGGAGGCAGCAGUGGGGAAUAUUGCACAAUGGGCGCAAGCCUGAUGCAGCCAUGCCGCGUGUAUGAAGGAGGCCUUCGGGUUGUAAAGUACUUUCAGCGAGGAGGAAGGCGUUGUGGUUAAUAACCGCAACGAUUGACGUUACUCGCAGAAGAAGCACCGGCUAACUCCGUGCCAGCAGCCGCGGUAAAAGGG
This 511-nucleotide ribosomal RNA is filed under the name uncultured Enterobacterales bacterium. RNAcentral's name for it is "bacterial SSU rRNA". It matches the Rfam family "Bacterial small subunit ribosomal RNA", at positions 29 to 528 of the family's 1533-position model. The record is from RNAcentral. Lineage: Bacteria; Pseudomonadati; Pseudomonadota; Gammaproteobacteria; Enterobacterales.